This 402-nucleotide ribosomal RNA is filed under the name Verrucomicrobiota bacterium. Its description in RNAcentral is "Verrucomicrobia bacterium partial 16S ribosomal RNA". It matches the Rfam family "Bacterial small subunit ribosomal RNA", at positions 355 to 776 of the family's 1533-position model. Lineage: Bacteria; Pseudomonadati; Verrucomicrobiota. The record is from RNAcentral.
UGGGGAAUAUUGCACAAUGGGGGAAACCCUGAUGCAGCGACGCCGCGUGAUUUAAAAGGCCUUCGGGUUGUAAAAAUCUUUUGUAUGGGAAGAAAAUGACAGUACCAUACGAAUAAGGACCGGCUAAUUACGUGCCAGCAGCCGCGGUAAUACGUAAGGUCCGAGCGUUGUCCGGAAUCAUUGGGCGUAAAGGGUACGUAGGCGGAUAAGCAAGUUAGAAGUGAAAUCCUAUAGCUCAACUAUAGUAAGCUUUUAAAACUGCUCAUCUUGAGGUAUGGAAGGGAAAGUAGAAUUCCUAGUGUAGCGGUGAAAUGCGCAGAUAUUAGGAGGAAUACCGGUGGCGAAGGCGACUUUCUGGCCAUAUACUGACGCUGAGGUACGAAAGCGUGGGUAGCAAACAGG